CGGCUUGGUAAAUGCCUGGGUAAAUCGCACCGCUUAACGGUGCGAAUUCCGGGUAGACUGUCAAGCUUGAGACCGGGAGAAGUUAGAGGUACUCCUGGGGUAGAGGUGAAAUUCUGUAAUCCUAGGGGGACCACCAGUGGCGAAAGCGUCUAACUAGAACGGGUCUGACGGUGAGGGACGAAGCCCUGGGGCGCGAACCGGAUUAGAUACCCGGGUAGUCCAGGGUGUAAACGCUGCUUGCUUGAUGUUAGUCGGGCUCCGAGCCCGAUUAGUGUCGGAGAGAAGUUGUUAAGCAAGCUGCCUGGGAA
This 308-nucleotide ribosomal RNA is filed under the name uncultured archaeon. Its description in RNAcentral is "bacterial SSU rRNA". It matches the Rfam family "Archaeal small subunit ribosomal RNA", at positions 526 to 834 of the family's 1478-position model. The record is from RNAcentral.